Molecule: ribosomal RNA, 493 nt
Filed under: uncultured bacterium
Lineage: Bacteria
Description: bacterial SSU rRNA
Rfam family: Bacterial small subunit ribosomal RNA
Source: RNAcentral
UAGUCCUCGCUGUAAACGAUGCACACUUGAUGUAGUCGGACUCAACCCCGGCUGUGUCGUAGCUAACGCGUUAAGUGUGCCGCCUGGGGAGUACGCUCGCAAGAGUGAAACUCAAAAGAAUUGACGGGGGCCCGCACAAGCAGUGGAGCAUGUGGUUUAAUUCGAAUGCAACGCGAAGAACCUUACCCAGGUUUGACAUGCAGCGGACCGCUUCAGAGAUGGAGUUUCUCGUAAGAGUCGCUGUACAGGUGCUGCAUGGCUGUCGUCAGCUCGUGCCGUGAGGUGUUGGGUUAAGUCCCGCAACGAGCGCAACCCUUAUCACUAGUUGCCAACAUUUUAGAUGGGGACUCUAGUGAGACUGCCUAGGUUAACUAGGAGGAAGGUGAGGAUGACGUCAAGUCAGCAUGGCCCUUAUACCUGGGGCUACACACGUGCUACAAUGGCCGGUACAGAAGGCAGCUAAGCCGCGAGGUGGAGCAAGUCCUACAAAGCC